AUGGUGUUUUUGGACCUUGCAUGGAAUGAGUUGUGUGGAAGAUUGCCUACAUGGAUAGGAGACUUGGGGAAAUUAAGAUUUGUACUGAGCCACAAUGCAUUUUGUGAUGAUAUUCCGGUCGAAGUAACAAGGCUCAGGAAUCUUCAAUACUUGGAUCUAUCAGCCAAUAAUUUCUCUGGUGCAAUACCCGGGCAUCUAUCAAACCUGACAUUUAUGAAAAGGACACAAAAGGAAUUCAUGGGUAUGUAUGACACAUAUAAUGCAUCCGCGCACAUCGGUGAGAUGGCAGCUGGUCACCUGGGAGAAAUAUUGCCAGUAGUAACAAAAGGCAUCAACUUUUAUAUGGUGGAGCAAUUGUUUAUGUUGUGA
Molecule: ribosomal RNA, 369 nt
Filed under: Triticum aestivum (bread wheat)
Lineage: Eukaryota; Viridiplantae; Streptophyta; Magnoliopsida; Poales; Poaceae
Description: partial small subunit ribosomal RNA
Source: RNAcentral